UAGCGGCGAGCGAACGGGGAGCAGCCCAGAGUCUUAAUCAGCAUUAGCAUCAGGAGAACGGUCUGGAAAGUCCGGCAGUAAAGGGUGAUAGCCCCGUAUCCGAAGGUGUUAGUGUUGUGAACUCGACGAGUAGGGCGGGACACGUGUUAUCCUGUCUGAAUAUGGGGGGACCAUCCUCCAAGGCUAAAUACUCCUGAUUGACCGAUAGUGAACCAGUACCGUGAGGGAAAGGCGAAAAGAACCCCGGCGAGGGGAGUGAAAUAGAACCUGAAACCGUGUACGUACAAGCAGUGGGAGCCCCAUCACUCAAGUGCCUCGGCAAUUGAGUGAUGGUGUAAAACCAUCACAAUAACAGCGCAGGAUUUGCCAACAAGAUUGGCUGAUUUUUUCAAGCCGCAGCGCAGUGGACAUCGAAGUCCAUGAGCAGCGGAAGUUAAAAAAUCGGGCAAGAUUGGCCGCAAAGCCAAGCGGGACAUUUGAGGAUGGGGUGACUGCGUACCUUUUGUAUAAUGGGUCAGCGACUUAUAUUCUGUAGCAAGGUUAACCGUAUAGGGGAGCCGUAGGGAAACCGAGUCUUAACUGGGCGAAUAAGUUGCAGGGUAUAGACCCGAAACCCGGUGAUCUAGCCAUGGGCAGGUUGAAGGUUGGGUAACACUAACUGGAGGACCGAACCGACUAAUGUUGAAAAAUUAGCGGAUGACUUGUGGCUGGGGGUGAAAGGCCAAUCAAACCGGGAGAUAGCUGGUUCUCCCCGAAAGCUAUUUAGGUAGCGCCUUGUGAACUCAUCUUCGGGGGUAGAGCACUGUUUCGACUAGGGGGUCAUCCCGACUUACCAACUCGAUGCAAACUACGAAUACCGAAGAAUGUUAUCACGGGAGACACACGGCGGGUGCUAACGUUCGUCGUGAAGAGGGAAACAACCCAGACCGCCAGCUAAGGUCCCAAAGUCAUAGUUAAGUGGGAAACGAAGUGGGAAGGCUCAGACAGCCAGGAUGUUGGCUUAGAAGCAGCCAUCAUUUAAAGAAAGCGUAAUAGCUCACUGGUCGAGUCGGCCUGCGCGGAAGAUGUAACGGGG
RNAcentral lists this ribosomal RNA (1075 nucleotides) under Providencia rettgeri. RNAcentral's name for it is "partial 23S ribosomal RNA". It matches the Rfam family "Bacterial large subunit ribosomal RNA", at positions 244 to 1180 of the family's 2925-position model. The record is from RNAcentral. Lineage: Bacteria; Pseudomonadati; Pseudomonadota; Gammaproteobacteria; Enterobacterales; Morganellaceae.